Etheostoma spectabile (orangethroat darter) is the source of this 700-nucleotide long non-coding RNA. RefSeq lists it as uncharacterized. Lineage: Eukaryota; Metazoa; Chordata; Actinopteri; Perciformes; Percidae. The transcript is spliced from 3 exons. The record is from RefSeq and is a predicted model, not a curated record.
UGCUUCUGACUGGGGGGGGUGGGAGCAGCCCUUUCCCAACGCUCCCCCACAGACCAGAAGCUUCACCCUUGUGACUUCUUUCCAAGAAAUUGUCUCCUGCAGAAAGAACCUACAAUGUUGGAAACCGAGAACUACUGGUCUGGACCGACCAUAAAAGCUUGGCAUUCAUCCAAUCCACCAAAAGACUCAACUCACGUCAAGCCAGGGUGCCAUCCUCAAUCCAUGGGUUGGACUGAGAGAGCCAACCAGGACCUAGAAGCAUCCCUUCGUUGUGUCUGCUCAGCGUCCGUCCUCCUGGGCCAACAUCUGCCGUGGACAGAGUAAGCCCACAACUCCCUGACCACCUCCGCCACUGGCUUCUCACCUUUCAAGGUCGCCUUGGGAUACCACCCACCCCCUCUUGUUUCCUGCUCAGGAGAGGGACCUGGCUGUUCCCUCGGUUCAGGAGAACCUAAAGUAGCGUUUGGAGCGACCCAGGAAGCCCUGCUCAACGAAGCCAAACUCACCCCCGGCGCCAGAUCGUUGCACCUACCAGCGUGAGUACCGCCUCAACCAGACGUUGCCGUGGUGUCUGCUACAGCCUUCUACGUAAGGUUGGAUUCCAGAAAGAAAGUUUGGAUCCAGGACUGCCUGCCCUCCUCGGCCCCUAUCCAGAUCCUACCUGGUGUUUUUCUGUCCUUGGCUGCUAUAAAUACAGAAG